GGGGAUAUAGCUCAGCUGGGAGAGCGCGUGAAUGGCAUUCACGAGGUCAGGGGUUCGAUCCCCCUUAUCUCCACCA
Molecule: transfer RNA, 76 nt
Filed under: Deltaproteobacteria bacterium
Lineage: Bacteria; Pseudomonadati; Myxococcota; Myxococcia
Also listed under: 6 other names
Description: tRNA-Ala
Rfam family: tRNA
About the family: Transfer RNA (tRNA) molecules are approximately 80 nucleotides in length. Their secondary structure includes four short double-helical elements and three loops (D, anti-codon, and T loops).
Source: RNAcentral